UUUGAUAAAGGCGUUGAAGCUCAGUGGAAAGCUAGAAUCUGAAAGUUCCAUCUUUUUUGAGUCGGUGUCUUCAGCUGUUGGUGCCAUUCAAUUUAACAGGAAUUUCUGCAAGCUUAAUGAACUCACUGAGGUCUGAUGCUAGCCUGAUAUGGAUAUAUCGAACUGCGCACCUGCAGAAGGAACUAUACCAGUGUUUCUUCAGUUCUUCAAACAUGGGAUUUUGUCAGCGAUAAUUUGUAUGCCAAAUCUAUUUAACAAACCCAACAGCAACAGUGCUUACUGUCAAUUGUUCCUGAAGGUUUCUCUCUGAGUUGCCAUCAAUGACAGAUUUUUCAAAAAAAAUUAACCUGGACUGUUCUUUGAUGGCUACAUAUUUUUGUAUGCAUUUAGAUAAAAAAAUAUUAGAAAGCAAUUUAGGAUACUACAGUAAUGUAUAUUGUUUUAACUCAUGUCUAUUGUAACUUAGUUGUAUCAUUUUGUGCACAAGAAAGUACAGUGUUACAGAAUUUUUGUAGUGUAAUUGAUGGUAUCUAAUCCAGGAUCUAUAGCUUGUUACAUGGAACCACAAACUGUGAUAUAAUACAAUUUUUGUUAACUAUCCAGGGCACCCAGUAGAACAAUCAUACCAUGCCCCCUUCAUGUUCUGUCAAAACCACCAAGGUCAAUGGUUGUUUCGAGUGGUCCUUAUGCUCUGCACUGUCUUAUAUAGCUUCCUAUGAAUUUAAAAGAUUGUUUCCAGUCAUGA
Rhineura floridana is the source of this 745-nucleotide long non-coding RNA. RefSeq lists it as uncharacterized. The transcript has 2 exons. NCBI's taxonomy places the organism in Eukaryota, Metazoa, Chordata, Lepidosauria, Squamata, Rhineuridae. The record is from RefSeq and is a predicted model, not a curated record.